This 329-nucleotide unclassified non-coding RNA is filed under the name soil metagenome. RNAcentral's name for it is "partial contains 5.8S ribosomal RNA, internal transcribed spacer 2, and large subunit ribosomal RNA". The stretch from base 1 to 121 matches the Rfam family "5.8S ribosomal RNA", at positions 35 to 154 of the family's 154-position model. The record is from RNAcentral.
GAUGAAUGAACGUAGCGAAAUGCGAUAAGUAAUGUGAAUUGCAGAAUUCAGUGAAUCAUCGAAUCUUUGAACGCACAUUGCGCCCCUUGGUAUUCCGAGGGGCAUGCCUGUUCGAGCGUCAUUAUAACCCUCAAGCUCAGCUUGGUGUUGGGGCCUGCUGCACUGGCAGCCCUUAAAAUCAGUGGCGGCGCCAUCUGGCUCUAAGCGUAGUAAUUCUUCUCGCUAUGGAGUCCUGGUGGAUGCUUGCCAUCAACCCCCAAUUUUUCUAUGGUUGACCUCGGAUCAGGUAGGGAUACCCGCUGAACUUAAGCAUAUCAAUAAGCGGAGGA